CCUACGGGGGGCAGCAGUGGGGAAUAGUGGACAAUGGGGGCAACCCUGAUCCAGCCAUGCCGCGUGUGUGAAGAAGGCCCUCGGGUGGUAAAGCACUUUCAGUGAGGAAGAACGCCUGGUGGUUAAUACCCAUCAGGAAAGACAUCACUCACAGAAGAAGCACCGGCUAACUCCGUGCCAGCAGCCGCGGUAAUACGGAGGGUGCGAGCGUUAAUCGGAAUUACUGGGCGUAAAGCGCGCGUAGGUGGCUUGAUAAGCCGGUUGUGAAAGCCCCGGGCUCAACCUGGGAACGGCAUCCGGAACUGUCAAGCUAGAGUGCAGGAGAGGAAGGUAGAAUUCCCGGUGUAGCGGUGAAAUGCGUAGAGAUCGGGAGGAAUACCAGUGGCGAAGGCGGCCUUCUGGACUGACACUGACACUGAGGUGCGAAAGCGUGGGUAGCAAACAGGAUUAGAUACCCCUGUAGUC
RNAcentral lists this ribosomal RNA (465 nucleotides) under Vreelandella stevensii. Its description in RNAcentral is "partial 16S ribosomal RNA". It matches the Rfam family "Bacterial small subunit ribosomal RNA", at positions 338 to 795 of the family's 1533-position model. The record is from RNAcentral. Lineage: Bacteria; Pseudomonadati; Pseudomonadota; Gammaproteobacteria; Oceanospirillales; Halomonadaceae.